This 1561-nucleotide ribosomal RNA is filed under the name Vibrio parahaemolyticus. Its description in RNAcentral is "bacterial SSU rRNA". It matches the Rfam family "Bacterial small subunit ribosomal RNA". The record is from RNAcentral. Lineage: Bacteria; Pseudomonadati; Pseudomonadota; Gammaproteobacteria; Vibrionales; Vibrionaceae.
AAAUUGAAGAGUUUGAUCAUGGCUCAGAUUGAACGCUGGCGGCAGGCCUAACACAUGCAAGUCGAGCGGAAACGAGUUAACUGAACCUUCGGGGGACGAUAACGGCGUCGAGCGGCGGACGGGUGAGUAAUGCCUAGGAAAUUGCCCUGAUGUGGGGGAUAACCAUUGGAAACGAUGGCUAAUACCGCAUGAUGCCUACGGGCCAAAGAGGGGGACCUUCGGGCCUCUCGCGUCAGGAUAUGCCUAGGUGGGAUUAGCUAGUUGGUGAGGUAAGGGCUCACCAAGGCGACGAUCCCUAGCUGGUCUGAGAGGAUGAUCAGCCACACUGGAACUGAGACACGGUCCAGACUCCUACGGGAGGCAGCAGUGGGGAAUAUUGCACAAUGGGCGCAAGCCUGAUGCAGCCAUGCCGCGUGUGUGAAGAAGGCCUUCGGGUUGUAAAGCACUUUCAGUCGUGAGGAAGGUAGUGUAGUUAAUAGCUGCAUUAUUUGACGUUAGCGACAGAAGAAGCACCGGCUAACUCCGUGCCAGCAGCCGCGGUAAUACGGAGGGUGCGAGCGUUAAUCGGAAUUACUGGGCGUAAAGCGCAUGCAGGUGGUUUGUUAAGUCAGAUGUGAAAGCCCGGGGCUCAACCUCGGAAUUGCAUUUGAAACUGGCAGACUAGAGUACUGUAGAGGGGGGUAGAAUUUCAGGUGUAGCGGUGAAAUGCGUAGAGAUCUGAAGGAAUACCGGUGGCGAAGGCGGCCCCCUGGACAGAUACUGACACUCAGAUGCGAAAGCGUGGGGAGCAAACAGGAUUAGAUACCCUGGUAGUCCACGCCGUAAACGAUGUCUACUUGGAGGUUGUGGCCUUGAGCCGUGGCUUUCGGAGCUAACGCGUUAAGUAGACCGCCUGGGGAGUACGGUCGCAAGAUUAAAACUCAAAUGAAUUGACGGGGGCCCGCACAAGCGGUGGAGCAUGUGGUUUAAUUCGAUGCAACGCGAAGAACCUUACCUACUCUUGACAUCCAGAGAACUUUCCAGAGAUGGAUUGGUGCCUUCGGGAACUCUGAGACAGGUGCUGCAUGGCUGUCGUCAGCUCGUGUUGUGAAAUGUUGGGUUAAGUCCCGCAACGAGCGCAACCCUUAUCCUUGUUUGCCAGCGAGUAAUGUCGGGAACUCCAGGGAGACUGCCGGUGAUAAACCGGAGGAAGGUGGGGACGACGUCAAGUCAUCAUGGCCCUUACGAGUAGGGCUACACACGUGCUACAAUGGCGCAUACAGAGGGCGGCCAACUUGCGAAAGUGAGCGAAUCCCAAAAAGUGCGUCGUAGUCCGGAUUGGAGUCUGCAACUCGACUCCAUGAAGUCGGAAUGCUAGUAAUCGUGGAUCAGAAUGCCACGGUGAAUACGUUCCCGGGCCUUGUACACACCGCCCGUCACACCAUGGGAGUGGGCUGCAAAAGAAGUAGGUAGUUUAACCUUCGGGGGGACGCUUACCACUUUGUGGUUCAUGACUGGGGUGAAGUCGUAACAAGGUAGCGCUAGGGGAACCUGGCGCUGGAUCACCUCCUUAAACGAUGAU